AGUGAACGCUGGCGGUAGGCCUAACACAUGCAAGUCGAACGGCAGCACAGUAAGAGCUUGCUCUUACGGGUGGCGAGUGGCGGACGGGUGAGGAAUACAUCGGAAUCUACUUUUUCGUGGGGGAUAACGUAGGGAAACUUACGCUAAUACCGCAUACGACCUACGGGUGAAAGCAGGGGAUCUUCGGACCUUGCGCGAAUGAAUGAGCCGAUGUCGGAUUAGCUAGUUGGCGGGGUAAAGGCCCACCAAGGCGACGAUCCGUAGCUGGUCUGAGAGGAUGGUCAGCCACACUGGAACUGAGACACGGUCCAGACUCCUACGGGAGGCAGCAGUGGGGAAUAUUGGACAAUAGGCGCAAGCCUGAUCCAGCCAUACCGCGUGGGUGAAGAAGGCCUUCGGGUUGUAAAGCCCUUUUGUUGGGAAAGAAAAGCAGCAGGUUAAUACCCCGCUGUUCUGACGGUACCCAAAGAAUAAGCACCGGCUAACUUCGUG
RNAcentral lists this ribosomal RNA (492 nucleotides) under uncultured bacterium. RNAcentral describes it as "partial 16S ribosomal RNA". It matches the Rfam family "Bacterial small subunit ribosomal RNA", at positions 29 to 507 of the family's 1533-position model. The record is from RNAcentral.